AAUUAAAGCCACAACCGAAGAAAGGGAAGAAGAAGACAAAGAAGGAUGUCAUUGUGCUAUACGAAGAAAAGAAGAACAAAUGUCCUCUUUACCAGGCCUUCUUUACCUGUGUUCCACUCGCAGUGUACGUAUCAGGGGUUGGUCCAUACUUAGUGAGUUUAGCUGAGAGUGCUUUUCCGGAUCAAGGGAUUGGGUACAUGUUCAAUAUUGCUGCACCCACAGCAGUGGUGUUUGCUUUGUACGCCAUCGUUAUCAUGUGGGGCCUCAGGUGGGUCACAUAAUUAGUAUUUACAAAGGACAUGGUGUUAAAGUUCCACAUAAUCAAGUGGCCGGGGUAUAAGUCUAGUGUUACUGUGGAUCCGAGGGGAAUGUGGGUACAUAGAGAAUGCAAAAAAAGGUUACUCAAUAGCCAAGCGGAUCUUUGGAUUAACUAUACGUUGAAUAUUAAGCGGGGAACUAUCGAACGAAGGGACAUUUUAGAUAAAUUAUUCGGAAAAUUUGAUCCUAAAAAGCAUAAAAAACUCAUGCAACAAGUGAAAGAACUUUGAUAAUGAAUUUUUACGAGUCUAAGUUUAUAAUUUACUUUAUAUUUUUAAGUUGUUAAUAUCUUUAUUUGGGGUGGUGAUUGUUUUUGUAACUUACUAACUUAUUAUGAUGCCAGCA
Long non-coding RNA from Bolinopsis microptera, 663 nucleotides. RefSeq lists it as uncharacterized. The record is from RefSeq and is a predicted model, not a curated record. The transcript is spliced from 4 exons. NCBI's taxonomy places the organism in Eukaryota, Metazoa, Ctenophora, Tentaculata, Lobata, Bolinopsidae.